Molecule: ribosomal RNA, 429 nt
Filed under: Actinomycetes bacterium
Lineage: Bacteria; Bacillati; Actinomycetota; Actinomycetes
Description: Actinobacteria bacterium partial 16S ribosomal RNA
Rfam family: Bacterial small subunit ribosomal RNA
Source: RNAcentral
UAGGGAAUCUUCCGCAAUGGGCGAAAGCCUGACGGAGCAACGCCGCGUGAGUGAUGAAGGUCUUCGGAUCGUAAAACUCUGUUAUUAGGGAAGAACAAAUGUGUAAGUAACUAUGCACGUCUUGACGGUACCUAAUCAGAAAGCCACGGCUAACUACGUGCCAGCAGCCGCGGUAAUACGUAGGUGGCAAGCGUUAUCCGGAAUUAUUGGGCGUAAAGCGCGCGUAGGCGGUUUUUUAAGUCUGAUGUGAAAGCCCACGGCUCAACCGUGGAGGGUCAUUGGAAACUGGAAAACUUGAGUGCAGAAGAGGAAAGUGGAAUUCCAUGUGCAGCGGUGAAAUGCGCAGAGAUAUGGAGGAACACCAGUGGCGAAGGCGACUUUCUGGUCUGUAACUGACGCUGAUGUGCGAAAGCGUGGGGAUCAAACAGG